Molecule: ribosomal RNA, 305 nt
Filed under: uncultured bacterium
Lineage: Bacteria
Description: bacterial SSU rRNA
Rfam family: Bacterial small subunit ribosomal RNA
Source: RNAcentral
UCCUACGGGGGGCAGCAGUGAGGAAUAUUGGUCAAUGGACGAGAGUCUGAACCAGCCAAGUAGCGUGAAGGAUGACUGCCCUAUGGGUUGUAAACUCCUUUUAUAUGGGAAUAAAAUGUUCCACGUGUGGGAUUUUGUAUGUACCAUAUGAAUAAGGAUCGGCUAACUCCGUGCCAGCAGCCGCGGUAAUACGGAGGAUGCGAGCGUUAUCCGGAUUUAUUGGGUUUAAAGGGUGCGUAGGCGGAAUAUCAAGUCAGCGGUAAAAAUUCGGGGCUCAACCCCGUCGUGCCGUUGAAACUGAUGUU